CAACAGAGCAUCGGUCAUUUCAAUAUUCUGAUUGCAUAGUUACCUUCAUUGGGAAUUCUGAUCACAACAAAUCCACAUCAUCUGCUGAUGUUUCCUAACCCUGCAGAGGAUGCUGAGAUGAGGGGCAGUGAGGCAUUGAAAUACAGAAGUACAGCAGGAGCAGGAGAAGAGGGCUCCAAAGGUUCUUCAGACACACAGCUUCUUGCUACUGCUAUGAAGAAACACUCAAGCAGGAGCAAGUGCGCAGUUCUUUCCUUUUUGGGAGCACUCCUGUACUGAGGUGCAUAGGAUAUCAACCACCAAGGAUGGAACACCAUCUUUCCAUAUGGCACCUGACACAGCCAGGAGUCUCACAGGGCAUCUGCACUGUAGGAACCACAGGAAUCAAUUCUCAUCUUAAAGUAGAACUAAAAAAAAUGUACUUUUUAAUU
This 431-nucleotide long non-coding RNA is filed under the name Phasianus colchicus (ring-necked pheasant). RNAcentral describes it as "lncRNA (ENSPCLG00000011285.1)". Lineage: Eukaryota; Metazoa; Chordata; Aves; Galliformes; Phasianidae. The record is from RNAcentral.